AGGGUUCGAUCCUGGCUCAGGAUGAACGCUGGCGGCGUGCCUAACACAUGCAAGUCGAACGGAGUGUUGAGAGCUUGCUUUUAACACUUAGUGGCGGACGGGUGAGUAAUGUAUGAGCAACCUGCCUUUCAGAGGGGGACAACAGUUGGAAACGACUGCUAAUACCGCAUAAUGUAUUUUGGAGGCAUCUCUGGGAUACCAAAGGAGCAAUCCGCUGAAAGAUGGGCUCAUAUCUGAUUAGCUAGUUGGUGAGGUAACGGCUCACCAAGGCUGCGAUCAGUAGCCGGACUGAGAGGUUGAACGGCCACAUUGGGACUGAGAUACGGCCCAG
RNAcentral lists this ribosomal RNA (331 nucleotides) under uncultured bacterium. Its description in RNAcentral is "bacterial SSU rRNA". It matches the Rfam family "Bacterial small subunit ribosomal RNA", at positions 8 to 334 of the family's 1533-position model. The record is from RNAcentral.